UGCCUCGAGUUCACUCCAACCCAAUGUGACGUUACCAAACUGUUGCCUCGGCGGGAUCUCUGCCCCGGGUGCGUCGCAGCCCCGGACCAAGGCGCCCGCCGGAGGACCAACCAAAACUCUUAUUGUAUACCCCCUCGCGGGUUUUUUUAUAAUCUGAGCCUUCUCGGCGCCUCUCGUAGGCGUUUCGAAAAUGAAUCAAAACUUUCAACAACGGAUCUCUUGGUCCUGGCAUCGAUGAAGAACGCAGCGAAAUGCGAUAAGUAAUGUGAAUUGCAGAAUUCAGUGAAUCAUCGAAUCUUUGAACGCACAUUGCGCCCGCCAGUAUUCUGGCGGGCAUGCCUGUCCGAGCGUCAUUUCAACCCUCGAACCCCUCCGGGGGGUCGGCGUUGGGGAUCGGCCCUGCCUUGGCGGUGGCCGUCUCCGAAAUACAGUGGCGGUCUCGCCGCAGCCUCUCCUGCGCAGUAGUUUGCACACUCGCAUCGGGAGCGCGGCGCGUCCACAGCCGUUAAACACCCAACUUCUGAAAUGUUGACCUCGGAUCAGGUAGGAAUACCCGCUGAACUUAAGCAUAUCAAUAAGCGGAGGA
Molecule: small RNA, 586 nt
Filed under: uncultured Trichoderma
Lineage: Eukaryota; Fungi; Ascomycota; Sordariomycetes; Hypocreales; Hypocreaceae
Description: eukaryotic LSU rRNA
Rfam family: 5.8S ribosomal RNA (bases 200-353)
Source: RNAcentral